CCCGCCCACACGCAGUGUGUUUACCUGACGCGCGGCCCUGUGUGGUGACGUACAGCGGGUGCGCGGGAGAUGUUGGACGGCGGCGUGAGGUUUGCGCAGAGCUGGGGACCAGGUAGCAUUCCACAAAACAGGCCCGCCAAGUGGGGCUUCCCGCGAUGUACUUAUACACAAAGACUGCGGCGUUAGUAAAUUCCCAAAUCCAUCCUCUUUACACUGAUUUGUAUAUUUAUAUAUAUUUGUAUAUGUAUAAUUUACAUAUAAUUAUAAUAUGGCUUCUGUUAUGCUCAGGGGAGAGGUCUUCACCUGAGCAAGGGUCUUUUUGACCUAGGGGUGUGAUUUUUAGUGAUAAUAAGGGUAGUUCAGUUAAGGGUACACAGACCUUGAGUUUUCAUGCCAAGUUGCCAAAGUAUCCUCAAAGUAUCCUCAUUAACUGUCUCCUCAAGGCCUAAUUGUUCCAGUGUCCUUCCCCAAAUAUUGGCUAACUGCAUACCUCUCUGAUUACAGCCUAAACUUGUAAUGUAUACAAUUUACGCCCUGCACAAAACAAUCAAACGGUUCUGUAUGUCUGUGUUACCCAUCUGCAUUUCUGAGUUACACUCCAGCAUCCCAGCAGGCAGUGGGAGGUGGCGGCUGAGGGGCCUGGGGGCCUCGGGGGCUUCAGGGGGGCGCUGCCCUCACAGCCACCAGCCCCGGGCAGGGGGGAGCGGGUUUCCCCUCAGAGCUUGGUGGGUUUUGGCAGCGCUGCCCCAGGCAGAGGGAUGUUUGCAGGUGUCUGGCACUGCACGCGUUUCUGAGGGGAACGUGCUGUGCUGGAGGCGAGGAGCUGCCUUUUCGCACCCGGUCAGGUUUCUAUCGGGGAGCCCGGGCCUCUGGCUUGCAGAUCCAGGCAGCGGGCACCUCAGCCAGGAUCAGUGACCUGCUCUGGGCAUCCACCCCAACUGCUGCGGCCACAAGUCAUCACCUACAUACUAAAACCAUUAAACAAUUACUGAAGAGUGUAACACAGCAUGCUUCUCCACAGAGUACCUGUUGGCAAAGAGUAACCAUUCUUUGUUCCUCUCGCCCUGCAAAAAAUUUAAAACAAUAGCUUCCAAGGUUGCCCCACAAAAGAAUUGUCCUCUGGAAAAAAAAAGCACUAGAGGCUUUUUUACAAAUAUUUUUGGAAGGUGUAACAGGGCGAUGCAAGUCAUGCAUGCCUUCAGCAUCUUCUUGAUGAUGCAGAACUGUGGUUUUGCACAUACUGGAGCAUUAUUUCACACACACACAAAAAAAGUUGGUGUAACUCAGACUUGAUAUUUGCCAAAAGGAGACUGUGUUCACAUGUUAGCUGUAAGCUCCCACACUUCCCUGUCUCAGCUUUGAUAAUUGAGUCAAAUGAUAUGUAGGUGGGCAAACGUACACAAGAGUAAACUGCUGCCAGUUUGUAUCGGCAAGUAAGUUUAUGUGUACUGCAGAGGAGCAUUAAACACUGAAUGCUUUCUGUCAUUCAGCAGCUACCCCAGGAAAAAUUGUAGGUUUUGUUAGAUUUAUAAGAGUGAAAAAAAAGCCAAUGUUUGCCGCAGCAGCUGGAGAAUCCGAAGUCUAGAACUGUUGAGAGGAAAUGUGGGAGAACAAGAUAUGCAAUUAUGAAUGCAGCAGAAUUUGAUGAAAACUUGAUUUUUGCAUUUAUGAAUGCA
Molecule: long non-coding RNA, 1676 nt
Organism: Falco peregrinus (peregrine falcon)
Lineage: Eukaryota; Metazoa; Chordata; Aves; Falconiformes; Falconidae
Exons: 2
Source: RefSeq, a predicted model, not a curated record